RNAcentral lists this ribosomal RNA (253 nucleotides) under uncultured bacterium. RNAcentral describes it as "partial 16S ribosomal RNA". It matches the Rfam family "Bacterial small subunit ribosomal RNA", at positions 524 to 776 of the family's 1533-position model. The record is from RNAcentral.
UACGAACCGGACAAACGUUACUCGGAAUCACUGGGCUUAAAGGGUGCGUAGGCGGCGCGGAGGGUGGGAUGUGAAAUCCCCCGGCUCAACCGGGGAAUAGCGUCCCAAACCGCCGUGCUCGAGGAAGACAGAGGUGAGCGGAACUGAUGGUGGAGCGGUGAAAUGCGUUGAUAUCAUCAGGAACACCAGUGGCGAAAGCGGCUCACUGGGUCUUCCCUGACGCUGAGGCACGAAAGCUAGGGGAGCGAACGGG